RNAcentral lists this small RNA (29 nucleotides) under Bombyx mori (domestic silkworm). RNAcentral describes it as "ovarian small RNA-2878". Lineage: Eukaryota; Metazoa; Arthropoda; Insecta; Lepidoptera; Bombycidae. The record is from RNAcentral.
UAACUGCUGUUUCCACAACAGGAGUGCCU